Molecule: transfer RNA, 82 nt
Filed under: Propionibacteriaceae bacterium
Lineage: Bacteria; Bacillati; Actinomycetota; Actinomycetes; Propionibacteriales; Propionibacteriaceae
Description: tRNA-Leu
Rfam family: tRNA
About the family: Transfer RNA (tRNA) molecules are approximately 80 nucleotides in length.
Source: RNAcentral
GCCGAAGUGGUGGAAUUGGUAGACACGCAGGAUUUAGGAUCCUGUGCUUUCGGGCGUGAGGGUUCAAGUCCCUUCUUCGGCA